GUUUCCGUACAUCUGGUUUUAUUCGGGUCAGGUAUUCUCCUAAGUCCAACGGAUGUAUAAGGUUAACAUCAAUGUGAUUACUUAACGCAGCCUGGCAUGCAGCAUGGUCUGCUUGAUCGUUUCCAGAACUUGAGAAUGGACUGGCAUCUUUUCGUCAUCGCAUCAACAGGAUAUAUUUCAGAGAUCCCAUUCACUGCUUCCAUACAAUCUGUGACGAUGAUAAAAUUUUUUCUAUCGCCGAUGGAGCAAUAUAACAACGCCUGCCACAGCGCAUAUUGUUCGGCAAAGCGAAUUGAGGACCACGAACAUAAACUCCAUUCAUAGGACUCUUCUCCAAUCACCAUCGCACUUCCAACACCACUCUCCGUUCUAGACCCGUCAGUAUAGAUGAUUUCAUACGAAGGAUAUUCAUUACAUAUAUCUUGGAAUUUC
Long non-coding RNA from Photinus pyralis (common eastern firefly), 432 nucleotides. RefSeq lists it as uncharacterized. The transcript has 3 exons. The record is from RefSeq and is a predicted model, not a curated record. Lineage: Eukaryota; Metazoa; Arthropoda; Insecta; Coleoptera; Lampyridae.